This 498-nucleotide ribosomal RNA is filed under the name uncultured bacterium. RNAcentral describes it as "bacterial SSU rRNA". It matches the Rfam family "Bacterial small subunit ribosomal RNA", at positions 28 to 528 of the family's 1533-position model. The record is from RNAcentral.
GAUGAACGCUAGCGGGAGGCUUAACACAUGCAAGUCGAGCGGUAUAGGUAGCAAUACUUAGAGAGCGGCGCACGGGUGAGUAACGCGUAUGCAACCUACCUUUUACAGAGGGAUAGCCCGGAGAAAUUCGGAUUAAUACCACAUGGCACUAUGGACCUGCAUGGGUUUAUAGUUAAAGAUUUAUCGGUAAGAGAUGGGCAUGCGUGACAUUAGCUAGUUGGUAGGGUAACGGCCUACCAAGGCGACGAUGUCUAGGGGUUCUGAGAGGAUGAUCCCCCACACUGGUACUGAGACACGGACCAGACUCCUACGGGAGGCAGCAGUGAGGAAUAUUGGUCAAUGGGCGCAAGCCUGAACCAGCCAUCCCGCGUGAAGGAUGAAGGCCCUAUGGGUCGUAAACUUCUUUUAUAUGCCAAGAAACGACCUACGAGUAGGUUUUUGACGGUAGUAUAUGAAUAAGCAUCGGCUAACUCCGUGCCAGCAGCCGCGGUAAUACGU